RNAcentral lists this long non-coding RNA (521 nucleotides) under Homo sapiens (human). Lineage: Eukaryota; Metazoa; Chordata; Mammalia; Primates; Hominidae. The record is from RNAcentral.
GCAUUCCAGGGCUGGGCUAGGGUAGGCAGGCAGCACCGGGCAAACCCACUCCUCCACCCUGCCCCCCGGGGCCUGAGUCACCGUCUGAACAACCAGGGAGUCAUGGGGGUGGAGAAGCAGAGCCCAGAAAGCGGGCUAGCCUGCACGCACGCCAAGAUGGAGCUCCAGGCUAGCCCACAGAACAGCCCAGCCGCAGCCGUCCUACCAGACCAGCACCUUGUAACCACAGUCUAACCCAGCGGGCACCAGGCGAUUGUGAGUGCCACGGGGCUGAGGCCUGCGCCGACCUGGUCUGCUGGUGCUACCAGGCUUGAACAGUCUUCAAAUCCACUGCUAUUAGGCAAAUUACCUGGCUCCCGCUGAACUCCAGCACCUAGAACUAUGUCACACUCGUAGUAGGCCGCUGCAUUGGUUGAACAAAUGAUUUUGAAAGAAUGAAUGUCUUCCUCUGUGCCUGCAUUUCCUCAGAAGGCUGUAACAAAGAUUAAAUAGGAAAAUUCGUGGAAAGUUCAAUUACUACA